UGGGGAAUUUUGGACAAUGGGCGAAAGCCUGAUCCAGCAAUGCCGCGUGUGUGAAGAAGGCCUUCGGGUUGUAAAGCACUUUUGUCCGGAAAGAAAUCCUUGGCUCUAAUACAGUCGGGGGAUGACGGUACCGGAAGAAUAAGCACCGGCUAACUACGUGCCAGCAGCCGCGGUAAUACGUAGGGUGCAAGCGUUAAUCGGAAUUACUGGGCGUAAAGCGUGCGCAGGCGGUUUGCUAAGACCGAUGUGAAAUCCCCGGGCUCAACCUGGGAACUGCAUUGGUGACUGGCAGGCUAGAGUAUGGCAGAGGGGGGUAGAAUUCCACGUGUAGCAGUGAAAUGCGUAGAGAUGUGGAGGAAUACCGAUGGCGAAGGCAGCCCCCUGGGCCAAUACUGACGCUCAUGCACGAAAGCGUGGGGAGCAAACAGGAUUAGAUACCCUGGUAGUCCACGCCCUAAACGAUGUCAACUAGUUGUUGGGGAUUCAUUCCUUAGUAACGUAGCUAACGCGUGAAGUUGACCGCCUGGGGGAGUACGGUCGCAAGAUUAAAACUCAAAUGAAUUGACGGGGUCAUAGCUGUUUUCU
This 585-nucleotide ribosomal RNA is filed under the name uncultured bacterium. RNAcentral's name for it is "partial 16S ribosomal RNA". It matches the Rfam family "Bacterial small subunit ribosomal RNA", at positions 355 to 938 of the family's 1533-position model. The record is from RNAcentral.